GAACAAGUACACACAUCAAAACUAGAAAGACUGUAAUUUUUGCUUUCUACGUCUACUAUCUGAUUUUUUAUCUGAGCCAGAGGAAGAAGCACCAAUAAAAGGGAAAAAGGGAGGAUUGAUAAGCCAGCCCUUCUAUCCAAAAUCCUUUGACAACCUCCUCUCAAAAAAAAAAAAAUCUUUGACAACCCUUUAGUUCAAGAAAGCAAUCAAAAGUAGUGUUGGUGGCCUGGUAGCGCAAAAUCCAUCCAUCAAGCAAGCCACCGCCCUGCUCUCCAGCUUGCGGCGUCCACCGGACAAGGAGCUGCCGGCGUCGCGUCCUUGUGCUCCAUCGGCGUCGCCGCUCCCGUCCGCUCGUUUUGCAUCUGCAUCUACGGAGGGAGGGGAAGAAAUGAAAACGUAGGGAAGCGAAGAGAUGGUGAAGGGGAAGGUAUUUUGGGUGUGGCUGGGCUGGAAUUUUGCGCGCCAUCUUCGCAUGAGCCACAUGCGGAUCCGGGGAACCAUCG
This 503-nucleotide long non-coding RNA is filed under the name Setaria italica (foxtail millet). RNAcentral's name for it is "long non-coding RNA (SITA_LNC002237)". The record is from RNAcentral. Lineage: Eukaryota; Viridiplantae; Streptophyta; Magnoliopsida; Poales; Poaceae.